This 1049-nucleotide long non-coding RNA is filed under the name Ananas comosus (pineapple). Its description in RNAcentral is "long non-coding RNA (ACOM_LNC002345)". Lineage: Eukaryota; Viridiplantae; Streptophyta; Magnoliopsida; Poales; Bromeliaceae. The record is from RNAcentral.
AAUUCAGAUUCGGAUAUUAUUAGAAUAAUAAUAUACACUUAUAUAAUUGAGCUCUUAUACUUUUAAAAAAUACCAAGUCGUUGGUGUUUAUAGGUCUUCGACUCUUGGAUUAAGGGGCCGUUUGAUUGCAUGUAAUUGCAACUACACUGUAUUUGUAACUAUAUAUGAAUACAAAUUUCGUGUUUGGUUUGAUAUAUUUAAUUCCAGCUGCUGUAGUAGGAACUGCAGGAGGAGACCCAACUGUAGCAGUUCGAACUACGCCCAAAUUGGCCGCAAUUCCAACUACAGCAGUUGGAGAGAGUAACUUUAAAUAAAAGGUAUGCUUACUUCCUCAAUAUUUUUAAAUUUUUUUUUUUUUUACAUUAAAGGUAAUCUCACUAUCAUAUAUAUAAAAUAAUAAAAUUUUAAAAAUUAUUUCUCAACCGCAUGCAAACAAAUAAAUUAUUUAUACUUGCAGCGCUUUCUACUACAUCCAACCAAAUAUGAUUCAUAUAGUUAUAAUUACUGUAUUUCCAACUGCAUGCAUCUCUAACUACACUGCAUUUAUAAUUACAUCUAACCAAGCGACCCCUAAGAGAUGUGCGGCUAGGAUGAUAGUGAUCCCCUAAAGUUGAGUGGGUUGUUGAUUGAAUAAUAUGAUUUAAGAGAUGAAACUAGUCAAAGGGAUAGAUCUGACGGCAAAAAACUUACAAGUACCAAAUUUUUAGUGCUUUUACAAGCACUAUAGCUAGACUAGACUCUCUCUCUCUCUCUCUCUCUCUCUCUCUCUCUCUCUCUCUAUAUAUAUAUAGAGUCCCGCUACUAUACUUUUAUGAGUAUUGGCUCCCUUAUACUCAUAAGUUUUCGGCCCUUAAAUUUAUUCCAUUGAUCAUUUCCACCCGUUAGAUCAUACUAUUUAAUCAACUACGCACUCAACCCUAGAGGACCACUAUUAUUCUAAGUGGGGACCACCAUCAUCUUAACCACAUAUCUUAUCAAUCAACGGUUAAAAAAUUAUGAGUACCAGGGAGUCUAUACUCAUAAAAGUAUAGUAGCCCUAGCCUAUAUAU